CCGACCUUAGCUCAGUUGGUAGAGCGGAGGACUGUAGUGAUCCAGACAUCCUUAGGUCGCUGGUUCGAUUCCGGCAGGUCGGA
Selaginella moellendorffii is the source of this 83-nucleotide transfer RNA. It matches the Rfam family "tRNA". From Rfam's summary of the family: Transfer RNA (tRNA) molecules are approximately 80 nucleotides in length. Their secondary structure includes four short double-helical elements and three loops (D, anti-codon, and T loops). NCBI's taxonomy places the organism in Eukaryota, Viridiplantae, Streptophyta, Lycopodiopsida, Selaginellales, Selaginellaceae. The record is from Rfam.